AAUCUGUGAUGUGGGCAUUUUUUAAUAAUCUUUUUAAAGUGCUUCCAAUCUUCUUAAAAACUUUCUCUUUCUAAUUGCCUAAAUGUAGCAAUCUCUUUCCUUAGUUG
Small nucleolar RNA from Gossypium raimondii (Peruvian cotton), 107 nucleotides. It matches the Rfam family "Plant small nucleolar RNA R71". Rfam says of the family: R71 is a member of the C/D box family of snoRNAs containing the C (UGAUGA) and D (CUGA) box motifs. Multiple nearly identical copies of this snoRNA have been identified in Arabidopsis, and it is thought to function as a 2'-O-ribose methylation guide for 18S ribosomal RNA. The record is from Rfam. Lineage: Eukaryota; Viridiplantae; Streptophyta; Magnoliopsida; Malvales; Malvaceae.